Molecule: non-coding RNA, 72 nt
Organism: Phrynosoma platyrhinos (Desert horned lizard)
Lineage: Eukaryota; Metazoa; Chordata; Lepidosauria; Squamata; Phrynosomatidae
Source: the annotation of a GenBank genome assembly
GAAAGUGUGGCAUAGUGGUUUGAGUGUUGGACUAUGACUCUGGAGGCCAGGGUUCAAUUCUCCACUCAGUCA